RNAcentral lists this small RNA (119 nucleotides) under Sinorhizobium meliloti 2011. RNAcentral describes it as "putative ncRNA". Lineage: Bacteria; Pseudomonadati; Pseudomonadota; Alphaproteobacteria; Hyphomicrobiales; Rhizobiaceae. The record is from RNAcentral.
GUCGCGAUGGACCCUCCCGACGGUAUCGUCAUGGAUACCGAAGGCGCCGAUCAUCUUCAGGGCGGCGAGGACUUGAUGCUUUCCAGCCUCGUCAAUCGCUUCCGCGGCCGGGGUCUCGC